Molecule: ribosomal RNA, 1860 nt
Filed under: human gut metagenome
Description: bacterial LSU rRNA
Rfam family: Bacterial large subunit ribosomal RNA
Source: RNAcentral
CCGAAUGCCGGUAAGUGAGAGCGUAGCAGUGAGACAGUGGGGGAUAAGCUUCAUUGUCGAGAGGGAAACAGCCCAGACCACCAACUAAGGCCCCUAAGCGUGUGCUAAGUGGGAAAGGAUGUGGAGUUGCUUAGACAACCAGGAGGUUGGCUUAGAAGCAGCCAUCCUUGAAAGAGUGCGUAACAGCUCACUGGUCAAGUGAUUCUGCGCCGAUAAUGUAGCGGGGCUCAAGUACACCGCCGAAGUUGUGGCAAUGACCUUUUUGGUUGUUGGGUAGGGGAGCGUCGUGUAGCCGGUGAAGCUGCGGUGUAAACCAGUGGUGGAGGCUAUGCGAGUGAGAAUGCAGGCAUGAGUAGCGAAAGAUGAGUGAGAAACUCAUCCGCCGGAUGAUCAAGGGUUCCAGGGUCAAGUUAAUCUGCCCUGGGUUAGUCGGGGCCUAAGGCGAGGCCGACAGGCGUAGUCGAUGGAUAACGGGUUGAUAUUCCCGUACCGGUGAAAAACCGCCCAUACUGAUAUUGUGAUGCUAACCAUGCGAAGCAUGAUGUGCAGGCUUUUGUUUGUGUGUUGUGUGGGUUGUGGGACCCGAUCUUUGGAGGUAAACGUGUUAACAGGUGUGACGCAGGAAGGUAGCCAAGCCACGCGAUGGUUGUCGUGGUCUAAGCGUGUAGGGUUGUCGGUUGUUAAAUGCGCCGGCUGUGUGCCUGAGACGUGAUGGGACCCCGUUUUUGGGGGAUUUGGUGAUCCUAUGCUGCCGAGAAAAGCAUCGGCGUGAGGUUUUAGCCGCCCGUACCCUAAACCGACACAGGUGAUCAGGUAGAGAAUACUAAGGCGAUCGAGAGAAUCAUGGUUAAGGAACUCGGCAAAAUGCCCCCGUAACUUCGGGAGAAGGGGGACCUUGAGCGUGAUGGGCACUUGCUGCCUGGAGCGUGUAUGGGUCGCAGAGACCAGGGGGAAGCGACUGUUUAUCAAAAACACAGGUCCGUGCGAAGUCGUAAGACGAUGUAUACGGACUGACUCCUGCCCGGUGCUGGAAGGUUAAGAGGAUUGGUUAGCCCUUUUUUGGCGAAGCUGAGAAUUUAAGCCCCAGUAAACGGCGGUGGUAACUAUAACCAUCCUAAGGUAGCGAAAUUCCUUGUCGGGUAAGUUCCGACCUGCACGAAUGGAGUAACGACUUCCCUACUGUCUCAACCAUGAACUCGGCGAAAUUGCAGUACGAGUAAAGAUGCUCGUUUCGCGCAGCAGGACGGAAAGACCCCGUGACCUUUACUAUAGUUUGGUAUUGGUGUUUGGUUUGGCUUGUGUAGGAUAGGUGGGAGACUGUGAAGCAUGGACGCUAGUUUGUGUGGAGUCGUUGUUGAAAUACCACUCUGGUCAAUCUGGAUGUCUAACUUCGGGCCAUGAUCUGGUUCAGGGACAGUGCCUGAUGGGUAGUUUAACUGGGGCGGUUGCCUCCUAAAGUGUAACGGAGGCGCCCAAAGGUUCCCUCAGCCUGGUUGGCAAUCAGGUGUUGAGUGUAAGUGCACAAGGGAGCUUGACUGUGAGACUGGCAGGUCGAGCAGGGACGAAAGUCGGGACUAGUGAUCCGGCGGUACGUUGUGGAACGGCCGUCGCUCAACGGAUAAAAGGUACCUCGGGGAUAACAGGCUGAUCUUGCCCAAGAGUCCAUAUCGACGGCAUGGUUUGGCACCUCGAUGUCGGCUCGUCGCAUCCUGGGGCUGGAGUCGGUCCCAAGGGUUGGGCUGUUCGCCCAUUAAAGCGGUACGCGAGCUGGGUUCAGAACGUCGUGAGACAGUUCGGUCCCUAUCCGCUGCGCGCGUUGGAAAUUUGAGAAAGGCUGUCCUUAGUACGAGAGGACCGGGA